Molecule: small nuclear RNA, 107 nt
Organism: Dipodomys ordii (Ord's kangaroo rat)
Lineage: Eukaryota; Metazoa; Chordata; Mammalia; Rodentia; Heteromyidae
Source: Ensembl
GUGCUUGUUUUGGCAGCACAUAUACCAAAAUUAGAAUGAUACCGAGAAGAUUAGCAUGGUCCCUGAGCAAGGAUGGCACACAAAUUCGUGAAGCAUUCCAUAUUAAA